Molecule: ribosomal RNA, 484 nt
Filed under: uncultured bacterium
Lineage: Bacteria
Description: partial 16S ribosomal RNA
Rfam family: Bacterial small subunit ribosomal RNA
Source: RNAcentral
AUUGAACGCUGGCGGCAGGCCUAACACAUGCAAGUCGAGCGGAUGAAGGGAGCUUGCUCCUGGAUUCAGCGGCGGACGGGUGAGUAAUGCCUAGGAAUCUGCCUGGUAGUGGGGGAUAACGUCCGGAAACGGGCGCUAAUACCGCAUACGUCCUGAGGGAGAAAGUGGGGGAUCUUCGGACCUCACGCUAUCAGAUGAGCCUAGGUCGGAUUAGCUAGUUGGUGGGGUAAAGGCCUACCAAGGCGACGAUCCGUAACUGGUCUGAGAGGAUGAUCAGUCACACUGGAACUGAGACACGGUCCAGACUCCUACGGGAGGCAGCAGUGGGGAAUAUUGGACAAUGGGCAAAAGCCUGAUCCAGCCAUGCCGCGUGUGUGAAGAAGGUCUUCGGAUUGUAAAGCGCUUUAAGUUGGGAGGAAGGGCAGUAAGUUAAUACCUUGCUGUUUUGACGUUACCAACAGAAUAAGCACCGGCUAACUUCGUG